UGAGGAGAUCUUGGCCAUUUACAGCUGCGGUUUUGGUGAGGAAUUUUGUGUUCUUGGAGCUUCCAAGUGCUCCAAUGGUGGAGUAUAGUUAGGAGGAGCCUUGUACCUUCCAUUUGGGUUGCCGUACAUCGACCUGAAUCCCGAAUCUUGAAUCAGUGAAUUGCCCUUGGUCCGGGACCAAGUGGAUUGAGGCAUUCCGCUGUGUACCGAGUUGAGGGAUAAGCUGCUACGGAGCUUGUGGAAACACGAAUUAAGGAGGUAGCAGUGGAGCAGGAGCCUCGGGCAAGAGGCCCGCAGAGUGAGCGCUGGAGCGCUUCAUAUUUUGCAUUUUGUUGGCCGUGUGGCCUAGGCUAGACUUAGGGCAUGAACAUGUCAUUUGUAUUUAUUAG
Molecule: long non-coding RNA, 389 nt
Organism: Gastrolobium bilobum
Lineage: Eukaryota; Viridiplantae; Streptophyta; Magnoliopsida; Fabales; Fabaceae
Exons: 4
Source: RefSeq, a predicted model, not a curated record